Long non-coding RNA from Carassius gibelio (silver crucian carp), 284 nucleotides. RefSeq lists it as uncharacterized. Lineage: Eukaryota; Metazoa; Chordata; Actinopteri; Cypriniformes; Cyprinidae. The record is from RefSeq and is a predicted model, not a curated record. The transcript is spliced from 2 exons.
AUGACAAUUCUAAGUCUAAUUUGGUUUUGACCCUUGCCUGGACUGGAUUUCGAUUUGGAUUACCCCAAUAACCUGCAUUUGGAUCUCUCUCUCCCUGUGUUUUCUGGAUCACAAUCGUGACAGAAGGACUCCGUCAAGACUAAGAUCCAGCGGUUUCUCAGGUCAUCAGAACCCCUCUAGGAAAUGCCCUACUGGUCGGUGUAGGGGAAUCUGGAAAACAGGGUCUGACAAGACUAGCAUCUUUUAUCGCUGGCUACAAGACUUUCCAGAUUACACUCACCCGG